CCUACGGGAGGCAGCAGUGAGGAAUAUUGGUCAAUGGGCGGGAGCCUGAACCAGCCAAGCCGCGUGAGGGAAGAAAGUACAGCGUAUCGUAAACCUCUUUUGUCAGGGAACAAAGGCGGGGACUAGUCCCCGGAUGAGGGUACCUGAAGAAAAAGCAUCGGCUAACUCCGUGCCAGCAGCCGCGGUAAUACGGAGGAUGCGAGCGUUAUCCGGAUUUAUUGGGGUUAAGGGGUGCGCAGGCGGCUUGUUAAGUCAGCGGUAAAAGCCCGGGGCUAAACCCCGGAGAGCCGUUGAAACUGGCGGGCUGGAGUUGGAGAGAAGGACGCGGAAGGCGCGGUGUAGCGGUGAAAUGCGUAGAUAUCGCGCAGAACCCUGAUGGCGAAGGCAGCGUACCGGCUCCACACUGACGCUGAGGCACGAAGGCGUGGGUAUCGAACAGGAUUAGAUACCCGGGUAGUC
This 459-nucleotide ribosomal RNA is filed under the name uncultured bacterium. RNAcentral's name for it is "partial 16S ribosomal RNA". It matches the Rfam family "Bacterial small subunit ribosomal RNA", at positions 338 to 795 of the family's 1533-position model. The record is from RNAcentral.